This 451-nucleotide ribosomal RNA is filed under the name uncultured bacterium. Its description in RNAcentral is "bacterial SSU rRNA". It matches the Rfam family "Bacterial small subunit ribosomal RNA", at positions 29 to 523 of the family's 1533-position model. The record is from RNAcentral.
AACGAACGCUGGCGGCAUGCCUAACACAUGCAAGUCGAACGAGACCUUCGGGUCUAGUGGCGCACGGGUGCGUAACGCGUGGGAACCUGCCUUUAGGUUCGGAAUAACUCAGAGAAAUUUGAGCUAAUACCGGAUAAUGUCUUCGGACCAAAGAUUUAUCGCCUUUAGAUGGGCCCGCGUAAGAUUAACUAGUUGGUGGGGUAAAGGCCUACCAAGGCGACGAUCUUUAGCUGGUCUGAGAGGAUGAUCAGCCACACUGGGACUGAGACACGGCCCAGACUCCUACGGGAGGCAGCAGUGGGGAAUAUUGGACAAUGGGCGAAAGGCCUGAUCCAGCAAUGCCGCGUGAGUGAUGAAGGCCUUAAGGGUUGUAAAGCUCUUUUACCCGGGAUGAUAAUGACAGUACCGGGAGAAUAAGCCCCGGCUAACUCCGUGCCAGCAGCCGCGGUAA